RNAcentral lists this transfer RNA (71 nucleotides) under Caulophryne jordani (fanfin angler). RNAcentral describes it as "tRNA-Asp". It matches the Rfam family "tRNA". Rfam says of the family: Transfer RNA (tRNA) molecules are approximately 80 nucleotides in length. Their secondary structure includes four short double-helical elements and three loops (D, anti-codon, and T loops). Lineage: Eukaryota; Metazoa; Chordata; Actinopteri; Lophiiformes; Caulophrynidae. The record is from RNAcentral.
AAGGCACUAGUAAAAGGAUAAUACACUGCCUUGUCAAGGCAGUAUUGUGGGUUGGACCCCCACGUGCCUUG